Oryza sativa Japonica Group (Japanese rice) is the source of this 71-nucleotide non-coding RNA. The record is from Rfam. Lineage: Eukaryota; Viridiplantae; Streptophyta; Magnoliopsida; Poales; Poaceae.
UUGAGCCGUACGAGAUGAAAUUCUCAUAUACGGUUCUCGGAGGGGGGUUCGGGUUAGUUACCUAUCUCAAU